Pogoniulus pusillus (Red-fronted tinkerbird) is the source of this 647-nucleotide long non-coding RNA. RefSeq lists it as uncharacterized. The transcript is spliced from 4 exons. The record is from RefSeq and is a predicted model, not a curated record. NCBI's taxonomy places the organism in Eukaryota, Metazoa, Chordata, Aves, Piciformes, Lybiidae.
GAGAAUGCUGCAUGAAGCUUCAACCUCAGUUAUUUUACAAUGGCAAUCUUCUUGGACCUAGAAGCUGCAGUUGCAUAUGCAUCUGUGGAGGUAUGCCUUCAGUGCAAGUGAGAUACAUCCACAUCGUGAGAUCUGCAGCUGCUGGAUACUGUGACGUGUGAAAGGGUAUUUGUGAAGAGGAGCUAUACUACUAAUCCUGAUUUAACAAAACAGAAACAAGAGGUUCAGAUUUUCAGUGAAACUUAAGACAGCUGUUGCCUGCUGAUUUCUGAAUGUCUUACCCAAUGUCAAGAAGAUUUUGUAAGAAAAUGGAGACUUGAACUAAACUGAUCUUGCAUUCAAAAAAUGGUGAUGGCUGCAGAACCACAGCUGAGGACACAAUGCUAGAUGACCGAACACAUCACAACUUUUGCAUUAUUUAUGUGUGCAUGGUCUUCUGGGAGAUAGCAACACAGGAAGACAGAAAAUCUGUCACAUUUGAAGUAGCCUGAAGAAACUGAACAGGAAAACGCAGCAUUUGAAGGAUGGACCUCUUAAGGACACUUUGGAUGUACCACUGUAUAGGACUGAAUCUCUGCUAUUCAUCAUGAAGAUACCUAAUAAAUAUUUUUUUCUUAAACUAUAUGCAUAGUAAAGGAAACUUAAAA